Dermochelys coriacea (leatherback sea turtle) is the source of this 206-nucleotide long non-coding RNA. RefSeq lists it as uncharacterized. NCBI's taxonomy places the organism in Eukaryota, Metazoa, Chordata, Testudines, Dermochelyidae. The transcript has 3 exons. The record is from RefSeq and is a predicted model, not a curated record.
CAUAGUGUGGCUCAACUUAUAGCAGCACAAUGAGCCAUGGGUUAUGUUUUCAGAAGUUCUAGCAACAUAUGUGGCCCAGCAGCUCUGCUUCUUUCCAAAGCUGCAGGGAGCCUCUGGUCGUGUUCUUCUACUGUUUUUCCACUAAAUCAAAACAUUAUAGGUGAACUGGGGAAGGCUGAGAUUCUGCCUCUGCAAACAAACGAGAG